RNAcentral lists this transfer RNA (76 nucleotides) under Candidatus Alloenteromonas pullicola. RNAcentral's name for it is "tRNA-Arg". It matches the Rfam family "tRNA". From Rfam's summary of the family: Transfer RNA (tRNA) molecules are approximately 80 nucleotides in length. Lineage: Bacteria; Bacillati; Bacillota. The record is from RNAcentral.
GUCGCUGUAGCUCAGUGGAUAGAGCGACCGCCUCCUAAGCGGUAGGCCGGAGGUUCGAAUCCUCUCAGCGACGCCA